RNAcentral lists this ribosomal RNA (618 nucleotides) under Lactiplantibacillus plantarum subsp. plantarum. Its description in RNAcentral is "bacterial SSU rRNA". It matches the Rfam family "Bacterial small subunit ribosomal RNA", at positions 62 to 645 of the family's 1533-position model. Lineage: Bacteria; Bacillati; Bacillota; Bacilli; Lactobacillales; Lactobacillaceae. The record is from RNAcentral.
UCGAACGAACUCUGGUAUUGAUUGGUGCUUGCAUCAUGAUUUACAUUUGAGUGAGUGGCGAACUGGUGAGUAACACGUGGGAAACCUGCCCAGAAGCGGGGGAUAACACCUGGAAACAGAUGCUAAUACCGCAUAACAACUUGGACCGCAUGGUCCGAGCUUGAAAGAUGGCUUCGGCUAUCACUUCUGGAUGGUCCCGCGGCGUAUUAGCUAGAUGGUGAGGUAACGGCUCACCAUGGCAAUGAUACGUAGCCGACCUGAGAGGGUAAUCGGCCACAUUGGGACUGAGACACGGCCCAAACUCCUACGGGAGGCAGCAGUAGGGAAUCUUCCACAAUGGACGAAAGUCUGAUGGAGCAACGCCGCGUGAGUGAAGAAGGGUUUCGGCUCGUAAAACUCUGUUGUUAAAGAAGAACAUAUCUGAGAGUAACUGUUCAGGUAUUGACGGUAUUUAACCAGAAAGCCACGGCUAACUACGUGCCAGCAGCCGCGGUAAUACGUAGGUGGCAAGCGUUGUCCGGAUUUAUUGGGCGUAAAGCGAGCGCAGGCGGUUUUUUAAGUCUGAUGUGAAAGCCUUCGGCUCAACCGAAGAAGUGCAUCGGAAACUGGGAAACUUGA